Long non-coding RNA from Aedes albopictus (Asian tiger mosquito), 509 nucleotides. RefSeq lists it as uncharacterized. The transcript is spliced from 3 exons. The record is from RefSeq and is a predicted model, not a curated record. Lineage: Eukaryota; Metazoa; Arthropoda; Insecta; Diptera; Culicidae.
AAAACCGUGAAAAUAAACAUGUGCCUUCGACCGAAAUCACCGGAUCCGAACCCGAAACUUUAUGGAGAUACGUCCCUCGGGGAAGCGCUAAACAUCUCCCAGAAGGGGUGAGGUCAGUGCGCCACCGCGAAGGAGAAAAUGCCCAUGACGGCGGGCACAGUUUUCAUUGAGCUACGAGGAUGUGCGAACAAAGACCGCUGGAAACGGCCUAAACCCACAAUCACCGUCGGUCGAACGCCUGCAGCGUAAGUUUCCCUUACACGGAAUGCAGCAGGGCACUGCAGUGAUGACUGCAGAACGCCGUUAAGCUGUAUUGCCGGGUGUGCUGUUCCCGGCAAUGGAAAAAGGCAAUUUGAAAUACCCGAUUGUUGCUCUAAUCAAAUUUGAAAGCACUUCUUGCAACCAUUGCUAGCUAGUGGCGCUACUUACCUUGUCUCAUCUAUCAAAUGUUUUGUAUUCUUUUACUUUUGUGUAAUAUUAAUUAAAAAAUCGGUGGGUGGGGUGUUUCA